RNAcentral lists this ribosomal RNA (484 nucleotides) under uncultured bacterium. RNAcentral describes it as "partial 16S ribosomal RNA". It matches the Rfam family "Bacterial small subunit ribosomal RNA", at positions 28 to 507 of the family's 1533-position model. The record is from RNAcentral.
AUUGAACGCUGGCGGCAUGCUUUACACAUGCAAGUCGAACGGCCGCGCGGGCUUCUGCCUGGCGGCGAGUGGCGAACGGGUGAGUAAUGCAUCGGAACGUGCCCAGUAGUGGGGGAUAGCCCGGCGAAAGCCGGAUUAAUACCGCAUACGACCUGAGGGUGAAAGCGGGGGACCGAAAGGCCUCGCGCUAUUUGAGCGGCCGAUGUCGGAUUAGCUAGUUGGUGGGGUAAAGGCUUACCAAGGCGACGAUCCGUAGCUGGUCUGAGAGGACGACCAGCCACACUGGGACUGAGACACGGUCCAGACUCCUACGGGAGGCAGCAGUAGGGAAUUUUGGGCAAUGGGGGCAAGCCUGAUCCAGCCAUGCCGCGUGCGGGAAGAAGGCCUUCGGGUUGUAAACCGCUUUUGUUCGGGAAGAAAUCCUCUGGGCUAAUACCCCGAGGGGAUGACGGUACCGGAAGAAUAAGCACCGGCUAACUACGUG